Molecule: ribosomal RNA, 47 nt
Filed under: Peltigera neopolydactyla
Lineage: Eukaryota; Fungi; Ascomycota; Lecanoromycetes; Peltigerales; Peltigeraceae
Description: partial 28S ribosomal RNA
Source: RNAcentral
GUUGACCUCGGAUCAGGUGAGGAUACCCGCUGAAUUUAAGCAUAUCA